RNAcentral lists this ribosomal RNA (253 nucleotides) under uncultured bacterium. RNAcentral's name for it is "partial 16S ribosomal RNA". It matches the Rfam family "Bacterial small subunit ribosomal RNA", at positions 524 to 776 of the family's 1533-position model. The record is from RNAcentral.
UACGUAGGGUGCAAGCGUUAAUCGGAAUUACUGGGCGUAAAGCGUGCGCAGGCGGUUUUGUAAGUUUGUCGUGAAAGCCCCGGGCUCAACCUGGGAAUUGCGAUGAAGACUGCAAGGCUUGAAUCUGGCAGAGGGGGGUAGAAUUCCACGUGUAGCAGUGAAAUGCGUAGAGAUGUGGAGGAACACCGAUGGCGAAGGCAGCCCCCUGGGUCAAGAUUGACACUCAUGCACGAAAGCGUGGGGAGCAAACAGG